Molecule: ribosomal RNA, 491 nt
Filed under: uncultured bacterium
Lineage: Bacteria
Description: bacterial SSU rRNA
Rfam family: Bacterial small subunit ribosomal RNA
Source: RNAcentral
AAAUGAAUAGACGGGGGCCCGCACAAGCGGUGGAGCAUGUGGUUUAAUUCGAAGCAACGCGAAGAACCUUACCAGGUCUUGACAUCCCUUGACAGCCUCAGAGAUGAGGUAUCUCUUCGGAGCAAGGAGACAGGUGGUGCAUGGUUGUCGUCAGCUCGUGUCGUGAGAUGUUGGGUUAAGUCCCGCAACGAGCGCAACCCUUGCCUUUAGUUGCCAUCAUUAAGUUGGGGACUCUAGAGGGACUGCCGGUGACAAAUCGGAGGAAGGUGGGGAUGACGUCAAAUCAUCAUGCCCCUUAUGACCUGGGCUACACACGUGCUACAAUGGUCUGUACAGAGGGAAGCGAAAGGGCGACCUGGAGCGAAUCCCAGAAAGCAGAUCUCAGUUCGGAUUGUAGGCUGCAACUCGCCUACAUGAAGUCGGAAUCGCUAGUAAUCGCAGGUCAGCAUACUGCGGUGAAUACGUUCCCGGGCCUUGUACACACCGCCCGU